AUGCCGACUCUUUGCCAAGGAUGGGUUCUUUCCAGAGCAUUGCAUCUUCUGCAGCUCAGGGCGCUGCCUUCUUUCCUAAACUGUUGGGGAAACUGUCCUGAUAUCCGAGACACUCUCCAUUGUGCCACAACCCUCUUUUUCUUCUGGCCAGAGCGCGUGCUCGACUGCUUUUGAGAGAAAUCUUCCACCUGGCCUGAUUAUGAACAGCUUCAGAGCUCUGUAGAGCAGUGAUCAAGACUGUGACUUCCUGGAAAUGUCAUUCUCAAUGGCGGUUUUUUCAUGAAUGUGAAAGUCGAAGCAUUAGGAAGGUUAAGUGUAGGGUUGCACAAAAUCUGCUAAAAGUAAAGGAGAAAAUCCCAUUUCCGAGGCAUGUGUCUUGUGAGCCAUUUUCAUUAACCCAUUAAAGUGGGCAAGCUCCAAAAUGCAACUGAAGCUGCUGACGAUUUAGGCAUUUUACAAUUGAAAUCAUCGGCCCAUCUCAAGUAGGGCCUGACUUGCCAGUGUCGUAGAGACACAAAUGGGAUCUGAUCCUUCAGGAACAGACAGCAUUCCAGCUUUGUGGGAAUGACUUUUAAAACGUGGAGUAGUUGGGGUCAUUUGAAACCUGUCUUCCGUAGGGACUUUUACUUCUAGAGAGUACGUGCAUUUUUAUUUUACCUGUCCUCAAGCUGAUGCUUUGCUCAUUUUAUUAAUAAAAAACACACUCUUGGGGGGAAGAUAUAAGAUGCUAAUGAGACAUGCAAUGUAUGCACAAAUAUGUUUAGCUGCUGCACAUGUGCACAGAAAAGACCAGGCAGAACAUGCUUAGUGUAACACUUCUUUCCACCUUCUUAUGAAUAAUCAUGUAAAACUCAACAUAAAGAGGGUUUCUCCACCAAUAAUUAAUGCUAUCUCACCCUUAUGAGCAGGCAGCCCUGGAAUUUAUCAGAGUGUACUAUGUAUUCUGCAUUUAAUUUUCAAAAUAUUCUUUUUUUUCUUCAAUAAAUUACUCUAUGCUGUACUUCUUUUGCUGUGUGUCUUGUUUAAAUUCUUUUAAACUAAGAAGAUAAGAACCAAGGUAUUACAUCAGCCAUCAAUAUUUCUGGUGCCAUGGCCCGGUAAGAAGUUUGUCGGCUUCAUUAAUUUCACUUUCCCUUUACUUGCAGUGAAUACUAUAGCAGUUCCAGACUACCUGGUUCACUAUCACUGCUUGUUCCAGUGCUGUUUCAGUAAAGUUCCGAGGGAAACGUUUUUAAGUCACCAAUAUUCUUUAGAGAGAGAAUAUAAGUGAUCUCCUUCUAGCUGCUACUUCUGUACUAUCCAUAAAUACACUAAUCACACGGGUCGCUUUCAACAUUUCAUAUUCGGGCUACAUUGGUGCUUAGUUUCACAUCUUUCUGGCCACACUUAAGACUCUGCUUACCGUUUGCUGUUCCUUCAGCAAUACUCGAUCGCCACCUAGUGGGUAUUGUAAUUUAUUUUCUGAUCAGGUUUUCUGUAUACAAAAAUUUUAUUUUGUUUUGAGGGGCAGAAUAAGAACUCCCUGUCUCUUCCGGCUUUAUGCAUUUUCCAGCUCCUUAACAUUGUUCUUCAACAGGCUUUCUUUGCUGAACAAAAAGUGCAGUCAUGUAGAUGCCCGGUUGUGGGGAUUGCAUCUGUGCAUUCCAGGUAUUAAUAAUUGAGCAUCACAAAUCCAAACCGGUGAAUUAAGAAAAGGCUUGUCAGCCAGACAUCUGCCCCACAGCCAGCAGUGGGAGUCAUCUCAGUAGGG
This 1750-nucleotide long non-coding RNA is filed under the name Callithrix jacchus (white-tufted-ear marmoset). RNAcentral describes it as "lncRNA (ENSCJAG00000083252.1)". The record is from RNAcentral. Lineage: Eukaryota; Metazoa; Chordata; Mammalia; Primates; Cebidae.